CGGCCGCGGUAUCCUGACCGUGCAAAGGUAGCAUAAUCAUUUGUUCCUUAAUUAGGGACUUGUAUGAAUGGCCACACGAGGGUUUAACUGUCUCUUACUUUUAAUCAGUGAAAUUGACCUCCCCGUGAAGAGGCGGGAAUAAAAAAAUAAGACGAGAAGACCCUAUGGAGCUUAAAUUAAAUUACCCUGGGUAAUAAAUUUUGGUUGGGGUGACCUCGGAGCAUAACAUAACCUCCGAACCAAGACCCACUUGUCAAAGUCAAUCAAUAUUGAUCAACGGAACAAGUUACCCUAGGGAUAACAGCGCAAUCCUAUUUGAGAGUCCAUAUCGACAAUAGGGUUUACGACCUCGAUGUUGGAUCAGGACACCCAAAUGGUGCAGCAGCU
RNAcentral lists this ribosomal RNA (387 nucleotides) under Sylvisorex ollula (Greater Forest Shrew). RNAcentral's name for it is "partial 16S ribosomal RNA". It matches the Rfam family "Bacterial large subunit ribosomal RNA", at positions 1928 to 2563 of the family's 2925-position model. The record is from RNAcentral. Lineage: Eukaryota; Metazoa; Chordata; Mammalia; Eulipotyphla; Soricidae.